Molecule: ribosomal RNA, 513 nt
Filed under: uncultured bacterium
Lineage: Bacteria
Description: bacterial SSU rRNA
Rfam family: Bacterial small subunit ribosomal RNA
Source: RNAcentral
GAUUCUGGCUCAGGAUGAACGCUAGCUACAGGCUUAACACAUGCAAGUCGCGGGGCAGCAUGGUCUAGCUUGCUAAGACUGAUGGCGACCGGCGCACGGGUGAGUAACGCGUAUCCAACCUUCCCCUUAGUAGGGCAUAGCCCGGCGAAAGUCGGAUUAAUACCCUAUGUUCUUCGUAGAUGGCAUCUGAGACGAAGCAAAGGUUAGCGCUAAGGGAUGGGGAUGCGUCUGAUUAGGCAGUCGGCGGGGUAACGGCCCACCGAGCCUUCGAUCAGUAGGGGUUCUGAGAGGAAGGUCCCCCACAUUGGAACUGAGACACGGUCCAAACUCCUACGGGAGGCAGCAGUGAGGAAUAUUGGUCAAUGGGCGAGAGCCUGAACCAGCCAAGUAGCGUGCCAGGACGACGGCCCUACGGGUUGUAAACUGCUUUUAUGCGGGGAUAAAGUGCCCUACGUGUAGGGUAUUGCAGGUACCGCAUGAAUAAGGACCGGCUAAUUCCGUGCCAGCAGCAGC